RNAcentral lists this ribosomal RNA (301 nucleotides) under uncultured bacterium. RNAcentral's name for it is "partial 16S ribosomal RNA". It matches the Rfam family "Bacterial small subunit ribosomal RNA", at positions 509 to 809 of the family's 1533-position model. The record is from RNAcentral.
CAGUCGCCGCGGUAAUGCGUAGGGGGCAAGCGUUAUCCGGAAUUACUGGGUGUAAAGGGAGCGUAGACGGUUAAACAAGUCUGAAGUGAAAUGCCGGGGCUCAACCCCGGAGCUGCUUUGGGAACUGUAGAACUGGAGUGUCGGAGGGGUAAGCGGAACUCCCAGUGUAGCGGUGAAAUGCGUAGAUAUUGGGAGGAACACCGGCGGCGAAGGCGGCUUACUGGACGACAACUGACGUUGAGGCUCGAAGGCGUGGGUAGCAAACAGGAUUAGAGACCCCAGUAGUCCCUGUCUCUUAUAU